GCGAUCGGUGGUUCAGUGGUAGAAUCCGCGCGCCUGCUUCGCGGGUGGCCCGGGUCGAUUUCCGGCCGAUGUA
Molecule: transfer RNA, 73 nt
Filed under: Trichonephila inaurata madagascariensis
Lineage: Eukaryota; Metazoa; Arthropoda; Arachnida; Araneae; Nephilidae
Description: tRNA-Ser
Source: RNAcentral